AACGUAGGAGGCGAGCGUUAUCCGGAUUUACUGGGUGUAAAGCGCAUGCAGGCGGUUCUGUAAGUUCGGUGUGAAAGCUCCUGGCUCAACUGGGAGAGGUCGCUGAAGACUGCAGGGCUUGAGCGUGGUAGGGGAAGGCGGAAUUCCGGGUGUAGUGGUGAAAUGCGUAGAUAUCCGGAGGAACACCAGUGGCGAAGGCGGCCUUCUGGACCAUGACUGACGCUCAGAUGCGAAAGCUAGGGUAGCAAACGGG
Molecule: ribosomal RNA, 253 nt
Filed under: uncultured prokaryote
Description: partial 16S ribosomal RNA
Rfam family: Bacterial small subunit ribosomal RNA
Source: RNAcentral